ACGGGAGGCAGCAGUGGGGAAUAUUGGGCAAUGGGCGAAAGCCUGACCCAGCAACGCCGCGUGAGGGAAGAAGGUUUUCGGAUUGUAAACCUCUAUCGUGGAGGACAAAGGAAGUGAUGGUACUCCACAAGGAAGCCCCGGCUAACUACGUGCCAGCAGCCGCGGUAAUACGUAGGGGGCGAGCGUUGUCCGGAAUGACUGGGCGUAAAGGGCGUGUAGGCGGCCGAUUAAGUCUGGAGUGAAAGUCCUGUUUUCAAGAUGGGAAUUGCUUUGGAUACUGGUUGGCUAGAGUGCGGAAGAGGUAAGUGGAAUUCCCAGUGUAGCGGUGAAAUGCGUAGAGAUUGGGAGGAACACCAGUGGCGAAGGCGACUUACUGGGCCGUAACUGACGCUGAGGCGCGAAAGCGUGGGGAGCGAACAGGAUUAGAUACCCUGGUA
This 437-nucleotide ribosomal RNA is filed under the name uncultured bacterium. Its description in RNAcentral is "partial 16S ribosomal RNA". It matches the Rfam family "Bacterial small subunit ribosomal RNA", at positions 341 to 792 of the family's 1533-position model. The record is from RNAcentral.